RNAcentral lists this ribosomal RNA (160 nucleotides) under Fusarium oxysporum. Its description in RNAcentral is "5.8S ribosomal RNA". The stretch from base 1 to 132 matches the Rfam family "5.8S ribosomal RNA", at positions 23 to 154 of the family's 154-position model. From Rfam's summary of the family: 5.8S ribosomal RNA (5.8S rRNA) is a component of the large subunit of the eukaryotic ribosome. It is transcribed by RNA polymerase I as part of the 45S precursor that also contains 18S and 28S rRNA. Lineage: Eukaryota; Fungi; Ascomycota; Sordariomycetes; Hypocreales; Nectriaceae. The record is from RNAcentral. RNAcentral also lists the same sequence under 1 other name.
GGUUCUGGCAUCGAUGAAGAACGCAGCAAAAUGCGAUAAGUAAUGUGAAUUGCAGAAUUCAGUGAAUCAUCGAAUCUUUGAACGCACAUUGCGCCCGCCAGUAUUCUGGCGGGCAUGCCUGUUCGAGCGUCAUUUCAACCCUCAAGCACAGCUUGGUGUU